UAUUGAGGGAAUAAGAAUGUUUCAGGGAGAGAAAUCACGUGAAAAUAGAUUCAACAAACUGAUAUCACUGAGCCCUUAGUGGAUGAAGAAAGAAAGAAAGCAGACUGGAGGAAGAGGAACCGACUCAGCUUUUGCUUGUCACGCAAAGCAGGAAGAAGGACAUGCAGGUGAGUGUCUGUGACAUGCAGUUGGCUGUUGCUGUGGGAAAGCAUGGCAUCCUCAGGGUAAUGCAAGAGAGACUGAUACUCAAAGUCUCAUGGCCUGAUGGCACUUCCCAUCCACUUGGCUGUGGGGGAAACAUAAGAUCUCUGCCAGAAGGGCAGCCACAGAUGCUGCCAACCUUGUCUUUUCCAAGCACUGAUGGCUAGGUAAGUGAACAUUAUCCACUUUAACCCACUUCAUUGUCAUCCCCUCCCUCCAUUCUUUCAUCCACCAUCACCCUUUCUACCACCUGCAUUUCCCUUUCUGCCAGCCGCUUGCACAGCACCCAGAAGAGCAGGCCCUGCUCUUCCUUUGUUGUUGAACAAGGGGGAAUGGUUUCAGACUAGAAGAGGGGAGAUAUAGGCCAGAUAUAAGGAAAACGUUUUUGCAGUAAGGGUGGUGAGGCACUGGAACAGGUUGCCCAGAGAUGCGAUGGAUGCUCCGUCCCUGGAGACGUUCAAGGUCAGGCUCUGAGCAACCUGAUCUAGCUGUAGGUGUCCCUGUUCAUCGCAGAGGAGUUGGACUACAUGGCCUUUAAAUGUCCCUUCCAACUCAAACGACACUAUGACUCCUCACCCCUCGGGGCCUGCUGCAUCAGAUGAAACGAGUGGACAAAAACCCCUCUGCACUCUCGAUUCACACUUCAGAGAGCUCGUCUUCAGGGUCCCAGCAGCAAGCUCAAGCACGAGAGCAGCUCCUCACCAACGGACACAGAGCUGAUUCACAUUUACAAGAUGGAACGUAAAGAAGUUCGAGAGGCUCCAGACCGAACGGGGCAAGGAGCCCAGGUUAACUGCCGCCAUUUCGCAGAGCGGACACCCGCCACCCGGUGUCCUCGCUGCCCUGGGGCGGCCGAGAGGGUGGGGAAAGCACCCACACGAGGGUCGGGCGGCGGGUGAGAGGGGCCGCGGAGCACGCUGAGGUGAGGCCGGGCCGAGAGGGCGGCGCCGGGGGCUCGGGCUGCAGAGCGGCGGCGCCGGGGGAGGCCGGGAUAUUCCUGAAUGAACGGCUCCCUCCCCGCCUCGCCCCGCACCCCCGCCCGCCACUCGCCGCCGCCGCUCCGAGGCGCAGCCAGUUUCUAUAGCGACGGCGCCGAUCCUCCGAGUAGUAACAAAGCCGGCUGCCCGCGGCCGCGCCGGGCCGGCGGGGGAAGCGGCUCCCUCUCCCCAGGGCACCGGCCGGUUGCGCCCAGUCAGGAAUUUUCAUUACUGAAGAGAAAUACAUCUUUAAACUAGCUGAAAACAAGGCUGGUUGGUGCAGUUGUUUCCUGUGUGGAGGAGAACAGGCAUUUCCUGUGCUCCCUACAAGUGAAUCUUUGCAAGAACUUCUUUUUCUUGGAAAGUGACCCACCCAUAGGGUUGAAGCUGCAGAACCUGCGUUUUGACAAGCUCUGAUCAUCACUGUGUUCAGCAGCUAUACGAAGAAACAGAAAAAUGAGUUAUUC
RNAcentral lists this long non-coding RNA (1645 nucleotides) under Gallus gallus (chicken). RNAcentral's name for it is "long non-coding RNA NONGGAT004073". Lineage: Eukaryota; Metazoa; Chordata; Aves; Galliformes; Phasianidae. The record is from RNAcentral.